GAUAAUAAUUUGUUAAAAGAAAGGUUAGAACAAUUGACUAAGAUGAAACGUAAAAUGGAGGACGAGAUACAAUCUAACCAGGAAAUGCUUGAACAAUUACGUGUCGAAAAUGAUGAGUUAAAAAAAAGGUUAAUUUUGGAAAGUGAAAAAAAAGUAAUGGAACAUAUUACACAACAACAUGCUGUGUCAUUGUCUGAUGGUCCUGUUGUAGAGGGUAUGGCAUCAAGUACAUAUAUGAGUGAAAAGUUUGUCGAUGGUUUACAAACUCAACUUAAAUUAGCACAUCAACAAUUGAAAAAUAUAUCGGAUGAAUUAGAUCGAGCAAAGUUAGACGAAGAAAAAUAUAAAUCAAAAAUUGAAAGUUUAAAAGAAAAAUUUGCUAAAGAAGAAAUUGAAAAAAAGAAAAUAGAAGAAAAUUUGUUUCACAAUAAUACAAAUAACAUAAUACAAAUGAACAAAAUAAAAGUAGAAUUAGAUAUGUUAUUAGAAGAAAAAAGAACAUUUUUACUUAUAAAAGAGAAAUAUGAAAAAGAAAUAGAACAAUUACAAAGAACUGUUGAUACAUAUAUGAAUGCAAAAAAAAAUGAUAUUAAUAUAAUUGAGAAAGAUAAAUUAAAGGAACAGAUAGAUGCUCAUUUAAACCGAAUUAGGGAAGAAGAAAAGGAAAAAAUCAAUUUAAAUUUUAAAAUUAAAAAAUUAGAAAAUGAGAAUGCAGAGUUAAAAAAUAGAAUCAGUAUGUACUUAGAAAGUGAUGUUGUAUAUGGAACUGCAAAUGGAAUUGUAAGUGGAACUGCAAGUGGAACUGCAAAUGGAACUGCAAGUAGAACUCCAAGUGGAACUGCAAAUGGAAUUUCAAGUGAAACUGCAAAUGGAAUGGAUGAGAGUCAUGAUGAUGUUACAAAUGGUGUUGAUCGUGUAGGAAGUAAUAUAAACUUAAGCUUUGUCCCAUCACAACCAAAUAAUAAAACAGAAAUAUCCUCCAAUGAAAUUUAUAAAUAUAUAAAUGAGAAUAUAGAUUUAACUGCUGAGUUAGAAAAUAAAAAUGAUUAUAUUGAUAAAUGUAAUGAAGAGAUAAAACAAAAAAGUGAUCACAUUAUUGAAUUGUGUAAUAGUAUAUCUACUUUAACAAACGAAAAUAAAACAUUAAAAAAAUCCUUACAUUUAAUGGAAAGAUAUAAAUUAAAUAUGCAUGAACAUAUAAAAGAAAAAGAUGAAAUUAUUCAUUAUUUAAAAAAUAUAUUUUUUGAGAAAAUUGAUAGUAUUUUAAAUUAUUAUUCGACGAAUACACGAAUAAGUGCUAUGGAUGAAACGGUUUGCUCUGACCUUCAAAAUGUGAUGAAGGUGCCCUCUGAUGAAGUUGUGUCUUUGUUACGAAGUUUAACUCGUGCGAGUAUGUUGGGGGAUGACAUCGUUACUGGCACUGGUACUGGCACUGGCACGGGUACGGAUACUGGUACUGGUACUGGUACUGGUACUGUUACUGGUACUGUUACUGGUACUGUUACUGGUACGGAUACUGGUACUGGUACGGAUACUGGUACUGGUACCGGCACUGGCACUGGCACUACUAAUGCGACUACUCCCACUGGUACUACAUCACGUAACGGCGAUAACAUGACUUCUUGCACAGACGAAGAAAGUUGUACUUUUUCUAACAAUAACAAAGAACACAUUUCUAUAAUAAAAUGUAACUUGCUAAAAUUAUUUAAACUGGGAUCAUGUUAUUUAUACAUUAUCAAUAGAAACAUGAAAGAAAUCAAAACGUUAAAAAAUAAAAUAGCUUGUCUUGAAGGUAGCAUUGAAAGUUUAACAGAGCAUAUCGAAAAUUUGAAAAAGGAAAAUGCGCAAAAUGAAUUAAUAUAUAAUGAGAGUAUUGAACAAAUUCAACAACUAAAAGAAAAUUUAAAAACGAAUGAACAAUAUAUUGAAGAACUAAAUACAAAUAUUUUACAAAAUAAAGAAAUAAAUAAAAUAAAUGCAAAUAACUUAAAAACCUAUAAAGAUUUUAUUGUUUAUUUAAUUUUAAAAAACAAAAUAUUUUUUGUUAUUAUGUAUAUGUUUAAUAUGAAACAAAAAAUUGAACAAACAGUAGUUACUUCCUUAUGCAACAUCAAAAAAACACAUGAUGUUUAUUUAUAUCAUGCCAUUGUUGAAGAAUUAAAAAAUGAGUACCCUCAUUUUCAUUUAGAUUAUGACAUGUCAGAAGAAAAUUAUAAGAAUAUUCGAAUGUUUAGUCGAAAGUUGGAUUGGUUGAAUGAGAGGAGGGAGUUAGACAUGAUGGUAGAUCCUGAGUUGGGUCAAGAGAAAGGACAAGAGUUUGAACAAGAGUUGGGACAAGAGUUGGGACAAGAGUUGGAACAACAAUUGGGUCAAGAUUUAGGACAACAAUUGGAACAACANNNNNNNNNNUUGGGUCAAGAUUUAGGACAACAGUUGGGUCAAGAUUUAGGACAACAGUUGGGUCAAGAUUUAGGACAACAGUUGGGUCGAGAUUUAGGACAACAGUUGGAACAAGAGCAGGGUCAAGUUACAAAUAUAUACAGUUCAGAUGUGGAAAGCACUAAAUAUAAAAAGACGAAUGAUAUACAACAAAUUGGUUAUACGCAAAUCGAAAACUAUGCCGAAAAAGAAAUUCAAAAUAUACAAUUUAAUGCUCAAGUGGAUAAUAGUAGUAGUAAUCUCGCAAAGAAUGUUAACUUAGACUUAGGUGGAGAAAAAGGGACAGUAAAUAAAGACAUAGAUAAAGACAUAGAUAAAGACAUAGAUAAAGACAUAGAUAAAGACAUAGAUAAAGACAUAGAUAAAGACAUAGAUAAAGANNNNNNNNNNAUAGAUAAAGACAUAGAUAAAGACAUAGAUAAAGAUAUAGAUAAAGAUAUAGAUAAAGACAUAGAUAAAGACAUAAGUGAUGCAUAUGAUAGUGACGCAUAUAAAAGUCUGGAUGAGGGUGCAAGUCGUGCUAACGAAAACAUUGUGAACAAAAAAAAUGUUAAUGAAACGAUGAGUUUAUAUAUAGAAAAUGUAAUAACAAAUGUAAAUAAAACUGAGGAUAAUACUGAAUGUGAUGAUAUGCACCAAGUAAAAAAUAAUAAUAGUUGUAGUAAUAGUCAUAAUGUUAAUCUUACCAAUACUAGUAAUGACCAUUCUGAUACUACAUUUAACAGUCAUAAUAAUAAUGACACUAACACAUUUAUAAAUAACGAGUUGGACAAAAACUAUUUAAGUAAGUUUAUUUUUAAUGGACCAAUUCGAAAUGGUUUUAGUACAUCAAAAGAUGAUACUGUAUGUGAAAAAGGAGGUGACACAGGAGGUGAAAAAGGAGGUGAAACAGGAGGUGAAACAGGAGGUGAAACAGGAGGUGAAACAGGAGGUGAAAAAGGAGGUGAAACAGGAGGUGAAACAGGAGGUGAAACAGGAGGUGAAACAGGAGGUGAAAAAGGAGGUGAAACAGGAGGUGAAACAGGAGGUGAAACAGGAGGUGAAACAGGAGGUGAAAAAGGAGGUGAAACAGGAGGUGAAACAGGAGGUGAAACAGGAGGUGAAACAGGAGGUGAAAAAGGAGGUGAAACA
Piliocolobus tephrosceles (Ugandan red Colobus) is the source of this 3570-nucleotide long non-coding RNA. The record is from Ensembl. Lineage: Eukaryota; Metazoa; Chordata; Mammalia; Primates; Cercopithecidae.